CGGACAGGGGUUUUCCCUGUACGCGGACAGAGUCUCCCCUGUACGUUCUAGGCGUCGCAAUCGAAACAAUCAACGAAUAUUCCAACAAGGAACAGAUACCAAUCCAUAUUGCAAAGAAAGUAUCAAAUACAUAAAACUAACACCUAUUACAAGCAUUCACUUAGUACAACUCAGUUUCAGUUACAUUUCACUUUCAAAUUACAAUCUAAUUAUUACAUCAUUUAAUUUACAA
Molecule: long non-coding RNA, 232 nt
Filed under: Ananas comosus (pineapple)
Lineage: Eukaryota; Viridiplantae; Streptophyta; Magnoliopsida; Poales; Bromeliaceae
Description: long non-coding RNA (ACOM_LNC035797)
Source: RNAcentral